GAUGAACGCUGGCGGCGUGCCUAAUACAUGCAAGUCGAGCGAACGGACGAGAAGCUUGCUUCUCUGAUGUUAGCGGCGGACGGGUGAGUAACACGUGGAUAACCUACCUAUAAGACUGGGAUAACUUCGGGAAACCGGAGCUAAUACCGGAUAAUAUUUUGAACCGCAUGGUUCAAAAGUGAAAGACGGUCUUGCUGUCACUUAUAGAUGGAUCCGCGCUGCAUUAGCUAGUUGGUAAGGUAACGGCUUACCAAGGCAACGAUGCAUAGCCGACCUGAGAGGGUGAUCGGCCACACUGGAACUGAGACACGGUCCAGACUCCUACGGGAGGCAGCAGUAGGGAAUCUUCCGCAAUGGGCGAAAGCCUGACGGAGCAACGCCGCGUGAGUGGUGAAGGUCUUCGGAUCGUAAAACUCUGUUAUUAGGGAAGAACAUAUGUGUAAGUAACUGUGCACAUCUUGACGGUACCUAAUCAGAAAGCCACGGCUAACUACGUGCCAGCAGCCGCGGUAAUACGUAGGUGGCAAGCGUUAUCCGGAAUUAUUGGGCGUAAAGCGCGCGUAGGCGGUUUUUUAAGUCUGAUGUGAAAGCCCACGGCUCAACCGUGGAGGGUCAUUGGAAACUGGAAAACUUGAGUGCAGAAGAGGAAAGUGGAAUUCCAUGUGUAGCGGUGAAAUGCGCAGAGAUAUGGAGGAACACCAGUGGCGAAGGCGACUUUCUGGUCUGUAACUGACGCUGAUGUGCGAAAGCGUGGGGAUCAAACAGGAUUAGAUACCCUGGUAGUCCACGCCGUAAACGAUGAGUGCUAAGUGUUAGGGGGUUUCCGCCCCUUAGUGCUGCAGCUAACGCAUUAAGCACUCCGCCUGGGGAGUACGACCGCAAGGUUGAAACUCAAAGGAAUUGACGGGGACCCGCACAAGCGGUGGAGCAUGUGGUUUAAUUCGAAGCAACGCGAAGAACCUUACCAAAUCUUGACAUCCUUUGACAACUCUAGAGAUAGAGCCUUCCCCUUCGGGGGACAAAGUGACAGGUGGUGCAUGGUUGUCGUCAGCUCGUGUCGUGGGAUGUUGGGUUAAGUCCCGCAACGAGCGCAACCCUUAAGCUUAGUUGCCAUCAUUAAGUUGGGCACUCUAAGUUGACUGCCGGUGACAAACCGGAGGAAGGUGGGGAUGACGUCAAAUCAUCAUGCCCCUUAUGAUUUGGGCUACACACGUGCUACAAUGGACAAUACAAAGGGCAGCGAAACCGCGAGGUCAAGCAAAUCCCAUAAAGUUGUUCUCAGUUCGGAUUGUAGUCUGCAACUCGACUACAUGAAGCUGGAAUCGCUAGUAAUCGUAGAUCAGCAUGCUACGGUGAAUACGUUCCCGGGUCU
RNAcentral lists this ribosomal RNA (1372 nucleotides) under uncultured bacterium. RNAcentral describes it as "bacterial SSU rRNA". It matches the Rfam family "Bacterial small subunit ribosomal RNA", at positions 28 to 1381 of the family's 1533-position model. The record is from RNAcentral.